RNAcentral lists this RNase P RNA (482 nucleotides) under Hymenobacter montanus. RNAcentral describes it as "Bacterial RNase P class A". It matches the Rfam family "Bacterial RNase P class A". Rfam says of the family: Ribonuclease P (RNase P) is a ubiquitous endoribonuclease, found in archaea, bacteria and eukarya as well as chloroplasts and mitochondria. Its best characterised activity is the generation of mature 5'-ends of tRNAs by cleaving the 5'-leader elements of precursor-tRNAs. Cellular RNase Ps are ribonucleoproteins. Lineage: Bacteria; Pseudomonadati; Bacteroidota; Cytophagia; Cytophagales; Hymenobacteraceae. The record is from Rfam by way of RNAcentral.
GUGAUGGGUCGCCCCACCGCGGCGCCAGACGCAAGGAUGGCGACGAGGAAAGUCCGGGCAACGCAGAGCACCCUGCUUCCUAACGGGAAGGACUGGCGCGCGUAAUGCAACCCAGGACAGCCAGUGCCACAGAAAAUUACCGCCCGGCGGUAGUCGUCAGCUGCUCAUUAUCAGUUGUUAGCUCAGGCUGGCGAACUGGCAAUGGGUACUUAAAAGCUGACCACUAGGCCGGGUAAGGGUGAAAAGGUGCGGUAAGAGCGCACCAGCGGGCGGGUGACCGUCCCGGCUGGGUAAACCUCAGGGGUUGAAAGACCAAAUAAGCUGGUACGCCGGCUCAGCCUGCGGGCCGGGCCGGCACCGGGCGGCUCGUCCGGCGCCAGCGGGUAGGUUGAUGGAGCCUUUCCGCGAGGACUGGCCUAGAUAAAUGGUGGGGACGCGCCCCCAGGCGCGGACAAAACCCGGCUUACAGACCCAUCACCUCG